AACGAACGCUGGCGGCGUGCCUAACACAUGCAAGUCGUGCGAGAAAGUUCCUUCGGGAGCGAGUAAAGCGGCGCACGGGUGAGUAACACGUAGGUAACCUGCCCCCCAGUCUGGAACAACUAGAGGAAACUCUAGCUAAUGCCGGAUGAGACCACGAUCCCUUCGGGGUUGCGGCCAAAGAUGGCCUCUACUUGUAAGCUAUCGCUGAGGGAUGGGCCUGCGGGCCAUUAGCUUGUUGGUGAGGUAACGGCUCACCAAGGCUGUGAUGGCUAGCUGGUCUGAGAGGAUGACCAGCCACACUGGGACUGAGACACGCCCAGACUCCUACGGAGGCAGCAGUGGGAAUUAGUUGG
Molecule: ribosomal RNA, 353 nt
Filed under: uncultured bacterium
Lineage: Bacteria
Description: bacterial SSU rRNA
Rfam family: Bacterial small subunit ribosomal RNA
Source: RNAcentral